Molecule: unclassified non-coding RNA, 250 nt
Filed under: plant metagenome
Description: partial contains small subunit ribosomal RNA, internal transcribed spacer 1, and 5.8S ribosomal RNA
Source: RNAcentral
GUAGGUGAACCUGCGGAAGGAUCAUUAUUGAAUGAACUUGGUGUGGUUGUUGCUGGCCCUUUCGGGGGCAUGUGCACACCCACCAUCCUCAUCUCUCCACCUGUGCACCUCUUGUAGACUUGGAUUGACUUUCCGAGGCAACUCGGUCGGGAGGACUUGCUGGCGCUAGCUGGCUUUCCUUGCAUUUCCAAGUCUACGUUUUUCAUAUACCCCAUUGAAUGUAACAGAAUGUAACAUUGGGCUUUGUGCC